Molecule: ribosomal RNA, 362 nt
Filed under: uncultured bacterium
Lineage: Bacteria
Description: bacterial SSU rRNA
Rfam family: Bacterial small subunit ribosomal RNA
Source: RNAcentral
AUUGAACGCUGGCGGCAUGCUUUACACAUGCAAGUCGAACGGGCUGGGGCGAACUCCAGUCAGUGGCGAACGGGUGAGUAAUACAUCGGAACGUACCUCGUAGUGGGGGAUAACUCGGCGAAAGCCGUGCUAAUACCGCAUAUGCUCUACGGAGGAAAGCAGGGGACCGUAACAGGCUUGUGCUAUGGGAGCGGCCGAUGUCCGAUUAGCUAGUUGGUGAGGUAAUGGCUCACCAAGGCGACGAUCGGUAGCUGGUCUGAGAGGAUGAUCAGCCACACUGGGGACUGAGACACGGCCCAGACUCCUACGGAGGCAGCAGUGGGGAAUUUGGACAAUGGGGGCAACCCUGAUCCAGCCAUGCC